Molecule: ribosomal RNA, 852 nt
Filed under: Triticum aestivum (bread wheat)
Lineage: Eukaryota; Viridiplantae; Streptophyta; Magnoliopsida; Poales; Poaceae
Description: partial small subunit ribosomal RNA
Source: RNAcentral
AUGAUAGCGAUGAAGCGUGUGCUUACUAUGAUAGUGAUGAACCAUGUACAUGUAUGCUUCUGCUUUCAUGGAUUGUCCGUAGUGCUCGUUGAGCCAACUACUGCUGCUGCUGCCGCUGCACUCAAGCUAGCAGCGGCAAAGGCAAAGAAUGAUGGUAGGUCGAACAACAUGAAGUGGCAGCCGUUCAUGUCCACGUUCGUGCUGAACAAGAUGUGUGAGCUCAUCUCUAGUGUAGUUAGGACUGACAAGGGCUUUAAGGAGGUGCACUUGAACACCGUUGCGAAUAAGGUGUUCGAGUUCUGUGGGCAAGAGGUGUCUGCCACCCAGGUGUACAACCACUUGAGGAAGUGGAGAAGUCGAUGGAUCCAAGUGUCCAGGCUGAGAGACCUUAGCGGUGCCUCAUGGGAUGAGAACACUUGCUCCAUAGUUCUAGAGGCAGAGCACUACGCCGGCCAUGUCGCGGGUGGCUUCAGCGACGAGGCUCUCAUGGCAGCUCUCAGCCACCUGCUUGACAACAAGGCCCAGGGUGUCGGGUUCGUUGCCAUGGCCGGCGCUCAUAGGGGCAAGUGGUAUGCCGUGUUCAUCGGUAAGGUCCCAGGGGUUUAUAGGGAAGAAGCCAGUGCACAAGUGGCAUCGUAUAGCAACAACACCCAUAGAGGGUUCAAGACUAGGCAGGCAGCAGAACAAGCUUACUCCGAGUGGGUGCGAAAGCACGACAGCAGUGUUGACAGUCGCAAGGUUGGAGGUGUCAAGGUGGAUCGUCAGUUUGGGCUGAAGCUGAAGAACUUCAUCAUCUUCGCCCAGUUCAUCGCCAUUGCUGUGCCGUGGCAUUGGUGUGCUAGGUGUGGGUAA